This 404-nucleotide ribosomal RNA is filed under the name Actinomycetes bacterium. RNAcentral describes it as "Actinobacteria bacterium partial 16S ribosomal RNA". It matches the Rfam family "Bacterial small subunit ribosomal RNA", at positions 355 to 776 of the family's 1533-position model. The record is from RNAcentral. Lineage: Bacteria; Bacillati; Actinomycetota; Actinomycetes.
UGGGGAAUAUUGGACAAUGGGCGCAAGCCUGAUCCAGCCAUGCCGCGUGAGUGAUGAAGGCCCUAGGGUUGUAAAGCUCUUUCACCGGUGAAGAUAAUGACGGUAACCGUAGAAGAAGCCCCGGCUAACUUCGUGUCAGCAGCCGCGGUAAUACGAAGGGGGCUAGCGUUGUUCGGAUUUACUGGGCGUAAAGCGCACGUAGGCGGACUAUUAAGUCAGGGGUGAAAUCCCGGGGCUCAACCCCGGAACUGCCUUUGAUACUGGUAGUCUUGAGUUCGAGAGAGGUGAGUGGAAUUCCGAGUGUAGAGGUGAAAUUCGUAGAUAUUCGGAGGAACACCAGUGGCGAAGGCGGCUCACUGGCUCGAUACUGACGCUGAGGUGCGAAAGCGUGGGGAGCAAACAGG